AACGAACGCUGGCGGCAGGCUUAACACAUGCAAGUCGAGCGCCCCGCAAGGGGAGCGGCAGCCGGGUGAGUAACGCGUGGGAACGUACCUUUUGGUUCGGAACAACUCCGGGAAACUGGAGCUAAUACCGGAUAAGCCCUAACGGGGAAAGAUUUAUCGCCGAAAGAUCGGCCCGCGUCUGAUUAGCUAGUUGGUGAGGUAACGGCUCACCAAGGCGACGAUCAGUAGCUGGUCUGAGAGGAUGAUCAGCCACACUGGGACUGAGACACGGCCCAGACUCCUACGGGAGGCAGGAGUGGGGAAUAUUGGACAAUGGGGGCAAGCCUGAUCAAGCCAUGCCGGGUGAGUGAUGAAGGACGUAGGGUUGUAAAGCUCUUUUGUCCGGGAAGAUAAUGACGGUACCGGAAGAAUAAGCCCCGGCUAACUUCGUG
RNAcentral lists this ribosomal RNA (431 nucleotides) under uncultured bacterium. Its description in RNAcentral is "partial 16S ribosomal RNA". It matches the Rfam family "Bacterial small subunit ribosomal RNA", at positions 29 to 507 of the family's 1533-position model. The record is from RNAcentral.